AAUCUUGCGCAAUGGGCGAAAGCCUGACGCAGCAACGCCGCGUGGGGGAUGAAGGCCUUCGGGUUGUAAACCCCUUUCAGCAGGAACGAAGCUGACGGUACCUGCAGAAGAAGCCCCGGCCAACUACGUGCCAGCAGCCGCGGUAAUACGUAGGGGGCGAGCGUUGUCCGGAUUUAUUGGGCGUAAAGAGCUCGUAGGCGGCUUGGUAAGUCGGGUGUGAAACCUCCAGGCUCAACCUGGAGCCGCCACUCGAUACUGCCAUGGCUAGAGUCCGGUAGAGGGUCACGGAAUUCCUGGUGUAGCGGUGAAAUGCGCAGAUAUCAGGAGGAACACCGGUGGCGAAGGCGGUGGCCUGGGCCGGUACUGACGCUGAGGAGCGAAAGCGUGGGGAGCAA
This 395-nucleotide ribosomal RNA is filed under the name uncultured Acidimicrobiales bacterium. RNAcentral describes it as "bacterial SSU rRNA". It matches the Rfam family "Bacterial small subunit ribosomal RNA", at positions 360 to 771 of the family's 1533-position model. The record is from RNAcentral. Lineage: Bacteria; Bacillati; Actinomycetota; Acidimicrobiia; Acidimicrobiales.